CGACCGGCGCACGGGUGCGUAACGCGUAUGCAACCUACCUUUAACAGGGGGAUAACACUGAGAAAUUGGUACUAAUACCCCAUAAUAUCAUAGAAGGCAUCUUUUAUGGUUGAAAAUUCCGAUGGUUAGAGAUGGGCAUGCGUUGUAUUAGCUAGUUGGCGGGGUAACAGCCCACCAAGACGAUGAUAGGUAGGGGUUCUGAGAGGAAGGUCCCCCACAUUGGAACUGAGACACGGUCCAA
Molecule: ribosomal RNA, 241 nt
Filed under: uncultured bacterium
Lineage: Bacteria
Description: partial 16S ribosomal RNA
Rfam family: Bacterial small subunit ribosomal RNA
Source: RNAcentral